RNAcentral lists this ribosomal RNA (351 nucleotides) under uncultured bacterium. RNAcentral describes it as "bacterial SSU rRNA". It matches the Rfam family "Bacterial small subunit ribosomal RNA", at positions 917 to 1271 of the family's 1533-position model. The record is from RNAcentral.
GGGCCCGCACAAGCGGUGGAGCAUGUGGUUUAAUUCGAUGAUACGCGAGGAACCUUACCAGGGCUUAAAUGUAAGUUGCAUAGACCAGAGAUGGUCUUUUCUUCGGACUACUUACAAGGUGCUGCAUGGUUGUCGUCAGCUCGUGCCGUGAGGUGUCAGGUUAAGUCCUAUAACGAGCGCAACCCCUGUCGUUAGUUGCCAUCAAGUAAAGUUGGGUACUCUAGCGAGACUGCCGGUGCAAACCGUGAGGAAGGUGGGGAUGACGUCAAAUCAUCACGGCCCUUACGUCCUGGCUACACACGUGCUACAAUGGCCGGUACAGAGAGCAGCCACUACGCGAGUAGGAGCGAA